RNAcentral lists this ribosomal RNA (465 nucleotides) under Vreelandella stevensii. Its description in RNAcentral is "partial 16S ribosomal RNA". It matches the Rfam family "Bacterial small subunit ribosomal RNA", at positions 338 to 795 of the family's 1533-position model. Lineage: Bacteria; Pseudomonadati; Pseudomonadota; Gammaproteobacteria; Oceanospirillales; Halomonadaceae. The record is from RNAcentral.
CCUACGGGUGGCAGCAGUGGGGAAUAUUGGACAAUGGGGGCAACCCUGAUCCAGCCAUGCCGCGUGUGUGAAGAAGGCCCUCGGGUUGUAAAGCACUUUCAGUGAGGAAGAACGCCUGGUGGUUAAUACCCAUCAGGAAAGACAUCACUCACAGAAGAAGCACCGGCUAACUCCGUGCCAGCAGCCGCGGUAAUACGGAGGGUGCGAGCGUUAAUCGGAAUUACUGGGCGUAAAGCGCGCGUAGGUGGCUUGAUAAGCCGGUUGUGAAAGCCCCGGGCUCAACCUGGGAACGGCAUCCGGAACUGUCAAGCUAGAGUGCAGGAGAGGAAGGAAGAAUUCCCGGUGUAGCGGUGAAAUGCGUAGAGAUCGGGAGGAAUACCAGUGGCGAAGGCGGCCUUCUGGACUGACACUGACACUGAGGUGCGAAAGCGUGGGUAGCAAACAGGAUUAGAUACCCCAGUAGUC